RNAcentral lists this ribosomal RNA (301 nucleotides) under uncultured bacterium. Its description in RNAcentral is "partial 16S ribosomal RNA". It matches the Rfam family "Archaeal small subunit ribosomal RNA", at positions 459 to 759 of the family's 1478-position model. The record is from RNAcentral.
CAGUCGCCGCGGGAAUACCAGCAGCCCAAGUGGUGGUCGCGAUUAUUGGGCCUAAAGCGCUCGUAGCCGGGCCGGUAAGUCCCUUGUGAAAUCGGACGGCCUAACCGUUCGGCGUGCAAGGGAUACUGUCGGUCUUGAGGCCGGGAGACGUCCGAGGUACUCCGGGGGUAGCGGUGAAAUGUUCUGAUCCUCGGGGGACCACCGGUGGCGAAGGCGACUAUCUGGGCCAACACUGACACUGAGACACGAAAGCGUGGGGAGCAAACAGGAUUAGAUACCCGGGUAGUCCCUGUCUCUUAUA